This is a long non-coding RNA of Ictidomys tridecemlineatus (thirteen-lined ground squirrel), 4053 nucleotides long. RefSeq lists it as uncharacterized. NCBI's taxonomy places the organism in Eukaryota, Metazoa, Chordata, Mammalia, Rodentia, Sciuridae. The record is from RefSeq and is a predicted model, not a curated record.
GCCUACGACACGUGGGCGGGGCGCGCCCUCUGCAGGAUCCUGCGGGAGGCCCGGACGGUGGAGGUGAGCCCUGGGGGCUCCCGCACAGCGUCGCUGUUCUGCGCAGUGUGGUUUAGAGUCUUAGGAUGCGUGAGAGACGCACGUCUAGGUUGAGGGAAGUGGGGGUAUAUGGUGCGUGCAAUAAACGUUUAUUGUGCGAGUGAAAGAAUGGGGCUGUUUGAACAGUUCCGAUGACUCCUGGCAACUCAGUAAUGAAACCUUGGCUGCCGCUUGAAGUUGUCGUCUUCGCGCCCCCUUCACUCACCAAUUCUGUGAUUGUUUCCAGACCUAGAACCAAUUGCAGAAUCAAGCUCUGGAGCAGACAUCUGGGGUUUUGUAAGUUCUCCUUGGCCCACCUGGGCUGUUUGGAGUGCUCAGACUCACUUCCCAGGAGGGCAUCCUAUGGUAAAUGCAUGUGGGUGUGGUGGUCAGGAGGUUUGACCCACUAGGAUUUGUGGCAUCUUGUGUUGAACCUCGGUGCUCUUUGGGAUAAAACACAUGGGCAACUAACUAACUCGAAUGACCAGAAAGAAAUCAAGAAUGGGAAGGCAAAUGUCAGUUGCUGCCUCAGAAAAUCUUGAUCCCUCACUCCAUUUAAAUCUGAGCCAGUUCUGAGACCCCAAAGCCCAUUGAUUGAAAGGGAGGGUUCCCUUGAGGACAGAUUCUAGAGUGCUACCAUAAAUAUACACAAGAAAUAUUUCCCCACUCCUUCCCUAAAGGUGCCUAGAGGCACUUAAAUAACUAAUUUGUUAUGGAAAAGGGAUUAUCCAGAACUCCGAAGGUUAGAUACAGGACUUGAGCUGACGCCAGGGCACCUGAAGCAUCCUGGUCUUCUGAUUAGAGUAGGGGCUUAUGAAAAUCUCAUGAAAAAUAAAAUUCUGCCCCAACUCCUUGUGGUAGUUUCCCUGGUCCUAAUGUGUGCUUGGAUGGUUAUACCUAACAGUAAGCAGAGCUCAUACGUUGAUUCCUGACUUGUAGAUAAGAACCAUGUGGCAGGAGGAGCAAAGUAGAAACUCCCCACCCUAGUGGUCCCCCCAGGGUUGUAAAUCAGAAGCAACACUGCCUUCCAGGUGAAUUUGUAUGAAUUGUGUCACCUUCCCAUUUCACACCUUCAUUUCACCUAGAUGGUCCCUGAAAAUCCAAAUAUAUUCAUGUAAAUGAAGGUGGACUACCAUAGACUUAGCCAAGUAGUGUUCCCAGUCUCAGCAGCCAUGCCUGGUGUGAUGUCUUUAUUGGAACCAAUUAAUGCACCUCUGUCAUUGAUAAUGAAGUUACUGAUAUACCGAACGUUAUUUUCAAUUCCCAAUAGUAAAGAGGAUCUAAAGCAGAUAACAUUUAUAUGGGAAGGACAGCCAUAUGCAUUAUGUGGCUCCAAGGCUGUUUUAACUCUCCUGCUUUCUGUUACAACAUAGUCUGUAAGGACCUUAUCAUCUGGACAUUCUACAAGUCAUAAAUGACGUCAUACUAGUUUGACAUGGUGAAGAAGGAAGUGACACUGAUGCUCAUAAACAUUUAUGCUCUAACAUUUAUGCUCAGACCAUAAAUGUUAGAGGAUAUAGCCUCCAAAGUUAUAGAAUCUGUUGUAUCUUAGUGGUACAAUGUUCUAGGGCAAGCUGGGGCAUUGCCUCUGAAGUAAGGAAUUAUUGUAUUAUGCAACCCAAUCAAGAAGAAAGAGGCAUAGCUUUAAUGAACUUCUCUACUUGGAGCCAGCAUUUACUAUGGAAUAUAGUAAUAUAUUCUCUCUCUAUAUAUAUAUAUAUAGCCCCAUUUUGGGGAUAGCUUGGUAAACUGCCAGUUUUGAGUGGGGCAUAGAGAAAAAGAAGUCUUUCCUGAAGAUCUAGAUUGGGGGAUGGGCUCCCCUGCCAUUUAGCAGAACCAGUGGGCUGGGUUGGGCUCAUCUGUGGAAGAAAAGGCCCUAAGUGGUACCUCUAGCAAGCCCCAGUAGGAGGUUUGUAGUACACCUGUUAAGAUCACUUGCCAGGUAAAAACAGCCCCUGGCAUGCUACCACACCCAAGUAGAGUCUGAACACCUGAUUGGGGCACCAAAUGACCUUGCAACUCAGUCUGCUUGUCCUGGGAUAGACAUUGUCGUAUCUACCAAGUAAUAAGAAUAAUUCAUUCAUUGUUCAAUGAAAAAGGUAUCCUUGGGAAUGGAGCCAACCUUUUCCAUGAGGGAGCAGUCAUCUACAGGACAAGGUGACUGUGGUCCCACACCUGCUACCUUGUUGCACCAAUGCCUGUCUAUCAACAGAAAAUACAAAUCGGGUCCGGUUCACAGUGGGUCAUCUUGAUGUAUUACGAGCUGAAAAUGAACUGCUGCUUGCUGUGUGGCAGUCCCAUUCAGGGUGAUGAUAAGGGGAAUCCUCUGUGAGCAGAACCUCAUGCAGUGCCGAGGCUAUCACUUGGUACAGAGUGAGUAGAUGGAGUUUAUGGAAGUUCAGGUGGAAUCCUGGGUGUGACAGUGUCGGUUGGUCAGGAAAGGGCCAGAGCAGAAGACUAGAGACUGGAGGUCUGGGGAAACAGCUGGACCCAGGGAGUGGUCACAGCAUGUGUGAAUCUUUGUGCCUCCUCAUGGCAGGGGAGUCACUGAACAAGACAGAGACACCAGCCUCUGUCUUCCUGUACUAUACAGUGAGCUAGCUCAUGGUUGGAGGUGCCAUGGUAACAGGAAUGCAGGUUUUGCCUACUAACUCGGGCUUGUUGUUAUCGAGUUAGAGCAUAAUGAUAUGUUGACUGACCUGUUAGCAGCUGAGAUCAAGCUGAGCUUCUGUUGUACUGCCAUUUAUAGACAAUAUCAGCUAGUCAUUCUAGCAGGUUGGUUACAGCCCACCCUUUCUAUCCCAUUCAUCUUUUUUUUUUUUUUUUGAACUGGGGAUUAAACUCGGGCACUAAGCACCAAGUCAUAUGUCCAGCCCCUAUUUUGUAUUUUAUUUAGAGACAGGGUCUUGCUGAGUUUCUUAGUGCUUUGCUUUUGCUGAGGCUGGCUAUGAACUUGUGAUCCUCCUGCCUCAGCUUCAUGAGCUGCUGGGAUUACAGGUGUGCAACACUGUUCCUGGCUGAUUUAUCUUCAUUGGAACUGAAAACUUCUCUGAGUGUGGAUUUACCUUCCCUAUCCACAGUGUCUCAGGCAACGUCACUAUCCAGGAGUUAGAGAAUGCUUAGUUUACCAGUGUGGGAUCAUGUAUAACAUUGCCUCAGGCCAAAAAACUCUUACAGUGAAAGGGAUGUGGCAAUAUGUGGAAUGCCAUGGAUCCACCGCUUCUCUGAGAUCCUGCAUUACCCACAAGAAGCUAGUCUAAUGAAAAGAUAGAAUGACCUCUUUUUUUAAUAUUUAUUUUUAAAUUUUAGGUGGACACAGUAUCUUUGUUUUACAUUUAUAUGGUGCUGAGGAUCAAACCCAGUGCCUUGUGCAUGCUAGGCAAACACUCUACCACCAGCCACAACCCCAGCCCUAGAAUGACCUCUAAAGGCUGAGCUAAGGUCUUGGCUUUGGGACAGUAUCCUGAGAAGUUGGGGUAUGUGCACUGAAUCAAAACCCCAUAUGUGAUGCUGAUCCACUAAGAGUCAGCAAGUGAGGAUUGGGGAGCAAAAACACAGGUCCACGAACCUAGAGGCUGGAAUUAACUAUUUCUCACCAUUGUCUAGCAACUCACAUGUAAAACAUUCUCUGUCUCCACAGCCUUAGGAUCCACUGGAGUUGGGCUGUUUCCAUGAGGGGAUCCCACUGAUGGGCAGGGAAGGAUGCUGGACCUGAAUCUGCAGACACAACUAUAUUAUUCUGAGCUCUUGCUGGUGGACUUGCAGGCAAAAGAGGAAGGAAUUCUUCAGUGGAAUUGCCUUUUUCUUUCCAGAAGUAACAGUGAGGAGUUCAACAACUACUAUCACAUUUUGGGACCACUACCAUAACUUGUGCCAAGAUCUCAUCUCAAAAAAAGAAAAAAGAAAAAAAAUUGUGGGGGAAUAGGAGAAUAAGAUUAGGGGACAAUCAGGCCAGGCAUAAUCAGGCCAGCCAAA